CCUACGGGGGGCAGCAGUGAGGAAUAUUGGUCAAUGGACGAGAGUCUGAACCAGCCAAGUAGCGUGAAGGAUGACUGCCCUAUGGGUUGUAAACUUCUUUUAUAUGGGAAUAAAAUGUUCCACGUGUGGGAUUUUGUAUGUACCAUAUGAAUAAGGAUCGGCUAACUCCGUGCCAGCAGCCGCGGUAAUACGGAGGGUCCGAGCGUUAUCCGGAUUUAUUGGGUUUAAAGGGAGCGUAGGUGGAUUGUUAAGUCAGUUGUGAAAGUUUGCGGCUCAACCGUAAAAUUGCAGUUGAAACUGGCAGUCUUGAGUACAGUAGAGGUGGGCGGAAUUCGUGGUGUAGCGGUGAAAUGCUUAGAUAUCACGAAGAACUCCGAUUGCGAAGGCAGUUCACUGGACUGCAACUGACACUGAGGCUCGAAAGUGUGGGUAUCAAACAGGAUUAGAUACCCGAGUAGUC
RNAcentral lists this ribosomal RNA (460 nucleotides) under uncultured bacterium. Its description in RNAcentral is "partial 16S ribosomal RNA". It matches the Rfam family "Bacterial small subunit ribosomal RNA", at positions 338 to 795 of the family's 1533-position model. The record is from RNAcentral.